This is a non-coding RNA of Prunus avium (sweet cherry), 642 nucleotides long. Lineage: Eukaryota; Viridiplantae; Streptophyta; Magnoliopsida; Rosales; Rosaceae. The record is from RefSeq and is a predicted model, not a curated record.
CUCUCAAACUCUAGCCCCAAUUCUUCUAACUCCCUCUCAAUUUUUUCACUCACUCUGAAACUAACCCAAAAUUUUCACGCUCUCCCUCGCAAACUCUGCCUGAAACUUCAUUUCCCUCUGAAACUCUUGCCCCAAUUACUUCCAGCUCCCUCUCAAUUUUUUCACUCCCUCUCAAACUGUCACCCUAAAACUCCAUCUCCUGGAAAAAUCUCUCCUCACCCUCUCAAUUUUUUUCAGUCCCUCUGAAACUCUCUCUUUCUUCUCUCUCCUUCAUCACUGCCCCAUUCUUGCGAAAAUCCUCCCCCUUUCCCUCUUAGAAUGUUCAUAUUCCCAGAAUACUCUACCCCUAAUUUUUCGUGUAGCAGCCAGAGUCCUCUCUGACCCUAAACUCACUCACUCUCUCUCUAACCCAAAACCCUCUCUGGCUCUAUAUCUGAUUCCAAAUCCCUUUUAUUCUCUUUAACCCCAAACGAGCUCAUUCUUUCUCAUCUAGACAUCCUCUUCGUUCCCAAACCCUCUCACGACUGCAAUCGCAAGAAGAGGUGCCAUGUGAUUGGUUGAAGUUAGAGAAAAAGCUGGGUGAGAGGACGGUGGGAAAGAGAGUGUGCGGUAGAUAGCAGGUGUUCGACUGAUCGUGUGGAU